GAAACCGUAGCUAAUACCGGAUAAUAUUUUGAACCGCAUGGUUCAAAAGUGAAAGACGGUCUUGCUGUCACUUAUAGAUGGAUCCGCGCUGCAUUAGCUAGUUGGUAAGGUAACGGCUUACCAAGGCAACGAUGCAUAGCCGACCUGAGAGGGUGAUCGGCCACACUGGAACUGAGACACGGUCCAG
This 187-nucleotide ribosomal RNA is filed under the name uncultured Staphylococcus sp. RNAcentral's name for it is "partial 16S ribosomal RNA". It matches the Rfam family "Bacterial small subunit ribosomal RNA", at positions 153 to 334 of the family's 1533-position model. Lineage: Bacteria; Bacillati; Bacillota; Bacilli; Caryophanales; Staphylococcaceae. The record is from RNAcentral.